Molecule: long non-coding RNA, 1291 nt
Organism: Meriones unguiculatus (Mongolian gerbil)
Lineage: Eukaryota; Metazoa; Chordata; Mammalia; Rodentia; Muridae
Exons: 3
Source: RefSeq, a predicted model, not a curated record
AGGACUCCAUUCUUUCCCGUUAAAGCUGUUCAGUCAAGAAGGGUAAUGCGACACCAUCGUAAAUUACCAGGAAAGAACCUUGAAUUAGAACUCCCAGGAAACCCAAGUUCAUGUGUGAAAAUGGAAAAAAAAAAAAUAUUCUCACCUAGAGAGCAGGGGUGUCUUGAGAAGUUACUGGCCUGUCUCUGUGGAAUAUGCAAGAGAGAAAGGUUCACACUUCUCACACAGACCUUCUGAGGAACAGGUGAUGCACUUGUGCAUCAUUGUCCAGUAUGAGGAUGCUGAACAGCUGCCUGGACACCAGUGAGACCCGUAUUUAGUCCCAGGCGCUCCUAGGGAGUCAGCUGUGUCAAGAUGUAGCUGAAUAUCUCCUUUCCUGAUGUCAGACACUCACCGAAGUGGACAACAGAUGCAAGCUUCGUACUUCCCAUGGAAAGCGCAUGGCCACAGAACCAGCGGCUGAUGUUCUGGGUGAACAGUGGAAGGGUCAUGUGCUUCAAAUAGGUGAUGGAAUAACAAACAAGCUUUUCCCACGAAGCAGGCUGUCUUGACAAACGGCGGAGUGCACCUGCUCUUGAGUAAAGAGUAUUUUCCUAUAGAUCAAAGAGAACUAGAGAGAGGAAGUGCUAGUCUCUUCUGGAUGCAUUUGGAUGCUAAUCUGAGUGUUUUCAACUUGGAUAUCAUUAAACAAACAAACAUACAAUAGAGGACAUUCCUGAAUUCACAUAUAGUACUGCUUCAGUGGUUGAGUUCCAAAAGAACUAGUAGAAUCUAAAAACUGUAAAGAAGAAAAUGUCUGACAGUAUGCUGUCAGCCUUCAAUCAAAGAAGGUAAGAAGCCCAGAACCAAGGUACCUGAGUAACUGGAUUCAGCAUCAUGGUCCUCCAUGUCCUGCAACACAAAUGCCAUACUGCUCAGAAGAUUAAUUCACUAAACAAAAUAAGGAGGCUAACGAAUACAGUUAAACUUACAACCAAGAGAAUGAUAAAAGCCAAAGAAAAAGGCCGGAACAGACCACCAAGAGACAGGCUGUCCUCACUGAGCAUGUUUGCUUCUAAGUCUGACUGCAGCGAAAACUAAGUAUUUAAGAGUAGCAAAUAAAUGACCAGACCUUGAAUCUAAAAUAAUAAUAAUAAGAAUAGUAAUAGUAAUAAUAGUAAUAAAAUGUUCCUUACCCUAAACAUGCUUUUCUGUCCUGUUUUAGAGAGCAUUCCACCAAUCAGCUCUGCAGAAAGCAGAGCUUACUGCUGAGGACCAUGGUCCAGAGGCCUGGAAAAAGAACUAAGACACA